Molecule: ribosomal RNA, 510 nt
Filed under: uncultured bacterium
Lineage: Bacteria
Description: partial 16S ribosomal RNA
Rfam family: Bacterial small subunit ribosomal RNA
Source: RNAcentral
GACGAACGCUGGCGGCGUGCUUAACACAUGCAAGUCGAACGAAGAACGAUGGAAGCUUGCUUCUAUCAAUCUUAGUGGCGAACGGGUGAGUAACGCGUAAUCAACCUGCCCUUCAGAGGGGGACAACAGUUGGAAACGACUGCUAAUACCGCAUACGAUCUAAUCUCGGCAUCGAGGAUAGAUGAAAGGUGGCCUCUACAUGUAAGCUAUCACUGAAGGAGGGGAUUGCGUCUGAUUAGCUAGUUGGAGGGGUAACGGCCCACCAAGGCGAUGAUCAGUAGCCGGUCUGAGAGGAUGAACGGCCACAUUGGGACUGAGACACGGCCCAGACUCCUACGGGAGGCAGCAGUGGGGAAUCUUCCGCAAUGGACGAAAGUCUGACGGAGCAACGCCGCGUGAGUGAUGACGGCCUUCGGGUUGUAAAGCUCUGUUAAUCGGGACGAAAGGCCUUCUUGCGAAUAGUGAGAAGGAUUGACGGUACCGGAAUAGAAAGCCACGGCUAACUACGUG